GAUGAACGCUGACAGAACGCUUAACACAUGCAAGUCAACUUGAAUUUGGGUUUUUAACUUAGGUUUGGGUGGCGGACGGGUGAGUAACGCGUAAAGAACUUGCCUCACAGCUAGGGACAACAUUUGGAAACGAAUGCUAAUACCUAAUAUUAUGAUAAUAGGGCAUCCUAUAAUUAUGAAAGCUAUAAGCGCUGUGAGAGAGCUUUGCGUCCCAUUAGCUAGUUGGAGAGGUAACGGCUCACCAAGGCGAUGAUGGGUAGCCGGCCUGAGAGGGUGAUCGGCCACAAGGGGACUGAGACACGGCCCUUACUCCUACGGGAGGCAGCAGUGGGGAAUAUUGGACAAUGGACCAAGAGUCUGAUCCAGCAAUUCUGUGUGCACGAUGAAGUUUUUCGGAAUGUAAAGUGCUUUCAGUUGGGAAGAAAGAAAUGACGGUACCAACAGAAGAAGUGACGGCUAAAUACGUG
RNAcentral lists this ribosomal RNA (467 nucleotides) under uncultured bacterium. RNAcentral describes it as "partial 16S ribosomal RNA". It matches the Rfam family "Bacterial small subunit ribosomal RNA", at positions 28 to 507 of the family's 1533-position model. The record is from RNAcentral.